This 981-nucleotide long non-coding RNA is filed under the name Prunus dulcis (almond). RNAcentral's name for it is "sRNA ncRNA". The record is from RNAcentral. Lineage: Eukaryota; Viridiplantae; Streptophyta; Magnoliopsida; Rosales; Rosaceae.
CUCAGAUCCAUUCCAUCGAAGAGAAAGAAAAAGAAAAACUGAAAAAGGAAGAAGGCGGCGACUCGACCCAGCCAGUGGAAUCGACAUCUUCUUCUCUACUCGUCACAGAGGUAUUUUGAGUCGGUUCUUCUUUUCUUUGUAGUUGCUGCUGCUGACUGUAUCUUCUUUUCUUCUUUUCUUAUGGAGACUGUAUUUUGUUUUUGCAUUGAAUAAUUAGAACAUGACGGAUGAAAUAUCAAUUUUGCUAUUUGUUAUUUUUAAUUUAUAUUAUUUUAAUCUCCGUAUCGGGACGUACCUGUUUCCUAGUUUUUGACGUAUCGGCUUAUCGUAUUGUAUCCGUACCGGUACCGGUGCAACAUAGAUAAACAUACAAAUUUAUGUUUGUAUAGAGAAGAAACAACAAAGUCAAAAUAUUUUUCAUAACGUUUUGAGGUUGUUCUCAAAAGCAAAUCUGGUGCCAAACAAGAGAAGAUGCAAUGGGAGUCUCCCGUGGACCAAGGCUUUCUGGGAUUCAGAAACAAGUCCUUAGUCUAUACAGAGGGUUUCUGAGGGCAGCCCGUGCAAAAUCUGCUGAAGAUCGACAGCAGAUUGAGUCACUUGUGUCAAGUGAGUUUCGCCGCAAUGCCAAGGAGGUAGACCGCAAAAAUUUCCUUUACAUUGAGUACCUGCUUCGCCGUGCUAAGAAACAGCUUGAUCAGCUCAGGAGCUCCGAUGUUGUUGGAUUGUCAGCCCUGAAUGUCAGUUUCUCGCAGACAAAACAUCCUACAAAUUGAAGUAAGAAUUUCAUCUAUUCUUAUUUACUUGUCGAGCCAAAUUUAGUUUGAUCCAUUGUUUAAACAGGGUAACAGAGGAAAAUAAAUUUUUGGCUGAAUUUUCCAUGUUGCUAUAAAAUCUCAAUGUAAGCUAUUCAGAAAGCUCUAAAUUGUGCGAUUCAUUGAUGGUCAUGGUCUUCUAAGGCUAUGUGUAUUGACUGUCUUCCAG